Molecule: ribosomal RNA, 206 nt
Filed under: uncultured bacterium
Lineage: Bacteria
Description: partial 16S ribosomal RNA
Rfam family: Bacterial small subunit ribosomal RNA
Source: RNAcentral
GACAGAGGGUGCAAACGUUGCUCGGAAUCACUGGGCGUAAAGGGCGUGUAGGCGGGUAGAUAAGUCGGGCGUGAAAUCCCUAGGCUCAACCUAGGAACUGCACUCGAAACUGCUUAUCUUGAGUGCCGGAGAGGAAAGCGGAAUUCCUGGUGUAGAGGUGAAAUUCGUAGAUAUCAGGAGGAACACCAGUGGCGAAGGGCGGACUU